UACGUAGGGGGCGAGCGUUGUCCGGAGUUACUGGGCGUAAAGCGCACGCAGGCGGUCUGCUAAGUUUGGAGUGACAGUUGGUGGCUUAACUGCCAAAGUGCUUCGAAAACUGACAGACUUGGAGGGCUUCAGAGGGACACGGAAUUCCGGGUGGAGUGGUGAAAUGCGUAGAGAUCCGGAGGAACACCAAAGGCGAAGGCAGUGUCCUGGGGAGUACCUGACGCUCAGGUGCGAAAGCCAGGGGAGCGAACGGG
This 254-nucleotide ribosomal RNA is filed under the name uncultured bacterium. Its description in RNAcentral is "partial 16S ribosomal RNA". It matches the Rfam family "Bacterial small subunit ribosomal RNA", at positions 524 to 776 of the family's 1533-position model. The record is from RNAcentral.